This 24-nucleotide microRNA is filed under the name Gossypium raimondii (Peruvian cotton). RNAcentral describes it as "gra-miR8723b". Lineage: Eukaryota; Viridiplantae; Streptophyta; Magnoliopsida; Malvales; Malvaceae. The record is from miRBase by way of RNAcentral.
CCAUUAACGGUGUAACAGUAAGCU